Molecule: unclassified non-coding RNA, 391 nt
Filed under: soil metagenome
Description: partial contains 5.8S ribosomal RNA, internal transcribed spacer 2, and large subunit ribosomal RNA
Rfam family: 5.8S ribosomal RNA (bases 1-122)
Source: RNAcentral
GAUGAAGAACGUAGCGAAAUGCGAUACUUGGUGUGAAUUGCAGAAUCCCGUGAACCAUCGAGUCUUUGAACGCAAGUUCCGCCCGAAGCCAUUAGGCCGAGGGCACGCCUGCCUGGGUGUCACACGUCGUUGCCCCCCCAUCUACUCCUUCGGGAUUGCGGGGGGCGGAUGAUGGCCUCCCGUGCGCCUCGUCGCGCGGUUGGCAUAAAUGCCAAGUCCUCGGCGACGCACGCCACGACAAUCGGUGGUUGCGAAACCUCGGUUGCCCGUCGUGUGCGGUCGUCGCGCAUCGAGGGCUCGAAAAAAUUGCCGGGCUCCGGCUCGGCUUUCAACGCGACCCCAGGUCAGGCGGGGUUACCCGCUGAAUUUAAGCAUAUCAAUAAGCGGAGGA